Molecule: ribosomal RNA, 376 nt
Filed under: uncultured bacterium
Lineage: Bacteria
Description: partial 16S ribosomal RNA
Rfam family: Bacterial small subunit ribosomal RNA
Source: RNAcentral
UAGGGAAUCUUCCACAAUGGACGCAAGUCUGAUGGAGCAACGCCGCGUGAGUGAAGAAGGCUUUCGGGUCGUAAAACUCUGUUAUUGAAGAAGAACGUGUGUGACAGUAACUGGUCAUGCAGUGACGGUAUUCAAUCAGAAAGUCACGGCUAACUACGUGCCAGCAGCCGCGGUAAUACGUAGGUGGCAAGCGUUGUCCGGAUUUAUUGGGCGUAAAGCGAGUGCAGGCGGUCUUUUAAGUCUGAUGUGAAAGCCUUCGGCUUAACCGAAGAAGGGCAUCGGAAACUGGGAGACUUGAGUGCAGAAGAGGAGAGUGGAACUCCAUGUGUAGCGGUGAAAUGCGUAGAUAUAUGGAAGAACACCAGUGGCGAAGGCG